UCAGCCGCUCCUUGGGCACAGCUCCCUGGGGGAGCAAGCUGGGAGCCCCCCGCAGCCCUUGCACAUCCUCCCUCCAAAAUUGCUGGUUGCACAGAUCCAGGCGCACAGACAUGGAGCAGCUGGCAUGUCC
This is a long non-coding RNA of Oxyura jamaicensis (ruddy duck), 130 nucleotides long. RefSeq lists it as uncharacterized. Lineage: Eukaryota; Metazoa; Chordata; Aves; Anseriformes; Anatidae. The transcript has 4 exons. The record is from RefSeq and is a predicted model, not a curated record.